Molecule: ribosomal RNA, 253 nt
Filed under: uncultured bacterium
Lineage: Bacteria
Description: partial 16S ribosomal RNA
Rfam family: Bacterial small subunit ribosomal RNA
Source: RNAcentral
UACGUAGGGUGCAAGCGUUAAUCGGAAUUACUGGGCGUAAAGCGUGCGCAGGCGGUUUUGUAAGUCUGUUGUGAAAUCCCCGGGCUCAACCUGGGAAUGGCAAUGGAGACUGCAAGGCUAGAGUUUGGCAGAGGGGGGUAGAAUUCCACGUGUAGCAGUGAAAUGCGUAGAUAUGUGGAGGAACACCGAUGGCGAAGGCAGCCCCCUGGGUCAAGAUUGACGCUCAUGCACGAAAGCGUGGGGAGCGAAUGGG